RNAcentral lists this ribosomal RNA (429 nucleotides) under Bacillota bacterium. RNAcentral's name for it is "Firmicutes bacterium partial 16S ribosomal RNA". It matches the Rfam family "Bacterial small subunit ribosomal RNA", at positions 355 to 776 of the family's 1533-position model. The record is from RNAcentral. Lineage: Bacteria; Bacillati; Bacillota.
UAGGGAAUCUUCGGCAAUGGACGGAAGUCUGACCGAGCAACGCCGCGUGAGUGAAGAAGGUCUUCGGAUCGUAAAGCUCUGUUGUUAGAGAAGAACGAUGGUAGGAGUGGAAAAUCUACCAAGCGACGGUAACUAACCACAAAGGCACGGCUAACUACGUGCCAGCAGCCGCGGUAAUACGUAGGUCCCGAGCGUUGUCCGGAUUUAUUGGGCGUAAAGCGAGCGCAAGCGGUUCUUUAAGUCUGAAGUUAAAGGCAGUGGCUUAACCAUUGUACGCAUUGGAAACUGGAGGACUUGAGUGAAGAAGGGGAGAGUGGAAUUCCAUGUGUAGCGGUGAAAUGCGUAGAUAUAUGGAGGAACACCGGUGGCGAAAGCGGCUCUCUGGUCUGUAACUGACGCUGAGGCUCGAAAGCGUGGGGAGCGAACAGG